This 254-nucleotide ribosomal RNA is filed under the name uncultured bacterium. RNAcentral describes it as "partial 16S ribosomal RNA". It matches the Rfam family "Bacterial small subunit ribosomal RNA", at positions 524 to 776 of the family's 1533-position model. The record is from RNAcentral.
GACGUAGGGCGCGAGCGUUGUCCGGAUUUAUUGGGCGUAAAGAGCUCGUAGGCGGCUUGUCGCGUCGACUGUGAAAACCCGUGGCUCAACCAUGUGGUCUGCAGUCGAUACGGGCAGGCUAGAAUUCGGUAGGGGAGACUGGAAUUCCUGGUGUAGCGGUGAAAUGCGCAGAUAUCAGGAGGAACACCGGUGGCGAAGGCGGAUCUCUGGGCCUGUUCUGACGCUGAGGCGCGAAAGCUAGGGGAGCGAACAGG